RNAcentral lists this telomerase RNA (1491 nucleotides) under Ophiocordyceps sinensis. RNAcentral's name for it is "Ascomycota telomerase RNA". It matches the Rfam family "Ascomycota telomerase RNA", at positions 194 to 1858 of the family's 1858-position model. Lineage: Eukaryota; Fungi; Ascomycota; Sordariomycetes; Hypocreales; Ophiocordycipitaceae. The record is from Rfam by way of RNAcentral. RNAcentral also lists the same sequence under 1 other name.
AUCUCCUUCACGACAGCACGUCGCCUCCCUCAGUUUGCCGACUCUCGUUUUCCGCAAGGAAUGUCUAUCGCAGACCCCCUCUCGGGCUCGUUGGACACAAUAUGCCGCUCUCGAGCCUGUAUCAGGACCUCGCUGCAUGCCGCACUCGGAUCAUUGUUGUCCUUGGCCGUCGGUAGCAGACGGUACAGCCUGGCCGGGGGAACGAGAGCCGGAACCUAACCCUAAGAAUAUUUCUGGUUCGAGUUUGCGCCAAGUCGUCCAACCCAUCAUUCAAGUUGAUUGAGCGAUCUGUGAGGCUGCGUCCGCUGAAAAGUGGUGCGGCUGACAUGGUAGCCUCGAUCGACGGACCGUUGGGGCGGACUCUCCAGUCACCUUAGGGUGCGUGAGAGGAAGGAUGCCAUGAGCCUGUCUGGUAAGAGCCUCUGGUCUGAGGACGCUCGUCUGCCCUAUCCGCUGGAACUUUGGCGUUGGCCAAAAUUGGACUGCUUCACGGAUGCUGCCGGCUCUCGAAGGGACAGGGUUCGCCGUCUCCUGCGGACAGACCUUUGGGUCGCAUAUCACGACUUGGACAGUGAACGGGCCAAGGAGUUGAGUACGGGUCGGCCACACACUGUCAGGGCAUGCGUUUCCCAAGACCAACAUCAGAGACUUGCCUCGUCGGAAACACUCUUGUAGUGCAGCGAGGAUGUCCUGGUUACACACAGAAACGCUCCACUCAGCCUGACUCACUGCCGUCCCGGGAAACUCUCGGUACUCUCGAAGCCCGUUUAUUGUCCGCCUCGUCUGUCCGCGGCGGAAUUUGUGAGCCCUGUCAAUUUUGCUGCGAUGCUCCUGGAGUCUCACCUCGGCACGUGCCAUUGGUGUGUGAUGCAACUGCAUCUGGUCCGGCCAGGCGCAUUAACCUUCCAUCGUCGGAAACGCGAUGCCUGAAGGACGCCAGUCCCCGUCGGGAUCCCUCUGGGUUUUCGGCGGGCCCUCGUCGCUCUUUCGAAAGGAAGUCGUCGGGACGAAAGCGCGGUUUUUAAGGAUGUCUUUUGUUCGCGCGUCAACGCCCUCCAUACUUUGCUCUUCGAGAGCAUUGCGGAGAGGAAACAAAAACUGGUCCUCGUUGGCAGUGCAUCACACACGGAAGGAGAUUCGGUUCCCAGCGCAGGGAGCUCUUUUCGGCUGUUCGGCGAGUCGUCUAUGAAAGCCCUGGACACUUGAUUGGGGUUGGUUCUCAGAGCCCGGACGUGAUGGCGGACCGCCGGUUUCCUAGGGUUGUGCUUGAGUCGCCAGCAGUGUCGGGACCCAUCUCGAGUUGGAGUCAAAGUUUCGUACUUGUCCGGCCCUGUCAACGACAAGAGCAACGGCAAUUCAACGGGAGCUGGCGCCCGCCAUCGGAUCUGGAAGUCUCUCUAUUGGUUUCUAAGGGCAGGCCGCUUGACGAAAGGUAGCCCUGGUUGUCCUCGUGCCAGAAAUGGUGGGAGGGCAACCCCCCGGCUAAUGAGG